This 235-nucleotide unclassified non-coding RNA is filed under the name fungal sp. Its description in RNAcentral is "partial internal transcribed spacer region". The stretch from base 1 to 46 matches the Rfam family "Eukaryotic small subunit ribosomal RNA", at positions 1786 to 1831 of the family's 1831-position model. The record is from RNAcentral. Lineage: Eukaryota; Fungi.
AAGUCGUAACAAGGUAACCGUAGGUGAACCUGCGGUUGGAUCAUUAAUAAAAUUAAAUAGAAGAACUCCUAAAAAGAGAUCUAUCUAUCACAUCUUGUGUGUUAAUUUAGUUUUCGUUAAACUUUAUUAUGCACACCAGAAUAACUUUUAUAAACUUUUGUUUAAACUUUUAAGCCUAAAAAGAAUUCAUUAUAAAAAGUAAAAACAACUUUUGACAACGGAUCUCUAGGCUCUC